ACGGGAGGCAGCAGUGAGGAAUAUUGGUCAAUGGACGAGAGUCUGAACCAGCCAAGUAGCGUGAAGGAUGACUGCCCUAUGGGUUGUAAACUUCUUUUGUUCGGGAAUAAAAAAGGUUACGUGUAACCUAUUGUAUGUACCGUUCGAAUAAGCAUCGGCUAAUUCCGUGCCAGCAGCCGCGGUAAUACGGAAGAUGCGAGCGUUAUCCGGAUUUAUUGGGUUUAAAGGGAGCGUAGGCGGAAUGUUAAGUCAGCGGUCAAAUGGCGAUGCUCAACGUCGUCCUGCCGUUGAUACUGGCAUUCUUGAGUGCACACAAGGUGGAUGGAAUUCGUGGUGUAGCGGUGAAAUGCUUAGAUAUCACGAAGAACUCCGAUUGCGAAGGCAGUUCACUGGGGUGCUACUGACGCUGAGGCUCGAAAGUGCGGGUAUCAAACAGGAUUAGAUACCCUGGUA
RNAcentral lists this ribosomal RNA (453 nucleotides) under uncultured Bacteroides sp. RNAcentral's name for it is "partial 16S ribosomal RNA". It matches the Rfam family "Bacterial small subunit ribosomal RNA", at positions 341 to 792 of the family's 1533-position model. The record is from RNAcentral. Lineage: Bacteria; Pseudomonadati; Bacteroidota; Bacteroidia; Bacteroidales; Bacteroidaceae.